AAGGGCGGUGAAGUCAGACCGGAAGGACUGGUGGAGCGCUUAGAAGUGAGAAUGCCGGUAUGAGUAGCGAAAGAAGGGUGAGAAUCCCUUCCACCGAAUAUCUAAGGUUUCCUGAGGAAGGCUCGUCCGCUCAGGGUUAGUCGGGACCUAAGCCGAGGCCGAUAGGCGUAGGCGAUGGACAACAGGUAGAGAUUCCUGUACCAGUGCUAAUUGUUUAACCGAUGGGGUGACACAGAAGGAUAGGGAAUCGCACGAAUGGAAAUGUGCGUCCAAGCAGUGAGUGUGAGAAGUAGGCAAAUCCGCUUCUCGCGAAGCAUGAGCUGUGAUGGGGAAGGAAAUUAAGUACGGAAGUUCCUGAUUUCACGCUGUCAAGAAAAGCCUCUAGGAAGAGUAGUACUGCCCGUACCGCAAACCGACACAGGUAGAUGAGGAGAGAAUCCUAAGGUGAGCGAGAGAACUCUCGUUAAGGAACUCGGCAAAAUGACCCCGUAACUUCGGGAGAAGGGGUGCUCUAUUAGGGUGCAAGCCCGAGAGAGCCGCAGUGAAUAGGCCCAGGCGACUGUUUAGCAAAAACACAGGUCUCUGCAAAACCGUAAGGUGACGUAUAGGG
Molecule: ribosomal RNA, 610 nt
Filed under: Listeria monocytogenes
Lineage: Bacteria; Bacillati; Bacillota; Bacilli; Caryophanales; Listeriaceae
Description: partial 23S ribosomal RNA
Rfam family: Bacterial large subunit ribosomal RNA
Source: RNAcentral